Molecule: ribosomal RNA, 228 nt
Filed under: uncultured bacterium
Lineage: Bacteria
Description: partial 16S ribosomal RNA
Rfam family: Bacterial small subunit ribosomal RNA
Source: RNAcentral
UCCGUAGGCGGGCAAUUAAGUCAGAGGUGAAAUCCCACAGCUCAACUGUGGAACUGCCUUUGAUACUGGUUGUCUUGAGUUACAGUGAAGUAGAUAGAACAUGUAGUGUAGCGGUGAAAUGCAUAGAUAUUACAUAGAAUACCGAUUGCGAAGGCAGUCUACUAACUGUAUACUGACGCUAAUGGACGAAAGCGUGGGGAGCGAACAGGAUUAGAUACCCUGGUAGUC